UACGAAGGGGGCUAGCGUUGCUCGGAAUCACUGGGCGUAAAGCGUGCGCAGACGGCCAUGCAAGACAGAUGUGAAAUCCCCGGGCUCAACCUGGGAACUGCAUUUGUGACUGCAUGGCUAGAGUACGGCAGAGGGGGAUGGAAUUCCGCGUGUAGCAGUGAAAUGCGUAGAUAUGCGGAGGAACACCGAUGGCGAAGGCAAUCCCCUGGGCCUGUACUGACGCUCAUGCACGAAAGCGUGGGGAGCAAACAGG
Molecule: ribosomal RNA, 253 nt
Filed under: uncultured bacterium
Lineage: Bacteria
Description: partial 16S ribosomal RNA
Rfam family: Bacterial small subunit ribosomal RNA
Source: RNAcentral